This 138-nucleotide ribosomal RNA is filed under the name uncultured eukaryote. Its description in RNAcentral is "partial 18S ribosomal RNA". It matches the Rfam family "Eukaryotic small subunit ribosomal RNA", at positions 1299 to 1458 of the family's 1831-position model. The record is from RNAcentral.
UGGUGGAGCGAUUUGUCUGGUUAAUUCCGAUAACGAACGAGACUCUGGCCUAUUAAAUAGUUCGCCGAUUCCGAUCUGUCGGCGUUAACUUCUUAGAGGGACAAGUGGCUUUUAGCCACGCGAGAUUGAGCAAUAUCA